CCCUUAGAUGUCCUGGGCUGCACGCGUGCUACAAUGAUACGUGCAACGAGUUAAUCCUGCUCUGAAAGGAGUGGGUAAUCUUAUGAAUGCGUAUCGUGCUUGGGAUUGACCAUUGUAAUUAUUGGUCAUGAACGAGGAAUUCCUAGUAAGCACAAGUCAUCAGCUUGUGCUGAUUACGUCCCUGCCCUUUGUACACACCGCCCGUCGCUCCUACCGAUUGAGUGUUCCGGUGAAUUAUUCGGACUGUAACGCAUUCAGUUCUGGAUGCAGUUACGGGAAGUUUUGUGAACCUUGCCACUUAGAGGAAGGAGAAGUCGUAACA
RNAcentral lists this ribosomal RNA (322 nucleotides) under uncultured eukaryote. RNAcentral describes it as "partial 18S ribosomal RNA". It matches the Rfam family "Eukaryotic small subunit ribosomal RNA", at positions 1470 to 1796 of the family's 1831-position model. The record is from RNAcentral.